Molecule: long non-coding RNA, 1291 nt
Organism: Bos taurus (domestic cattle)
Lineage: Eukaryota; Metazoa; Chordata; Mammalia; Artiodactyla; Bovidae
Source: Ensembl
UGACACUGUUUGCACUGUUUCCCCAUCUAUUUCCCAUGUAGUGGUGGGACCAGAUGCCAUGAUCUUCGUUUUCUGAAUGUUGAGCUUUAAGCCAACUUUUCCACUCUCCACUUUCACUUUCAUCAAGAGGCUUUUGAGUUCCUCUUCACUUUCUGCCAUAAGGGUGGUGUCAUCUGCAUAUCUGACAUUAUUGAUAUUUCUCCUGGCAAUCUUGAUUCCAGCCUGUAUUUCUUCCAGUCCAGCAUUUCUCAUGAUGUACUCUGCAUGUAAGUUAAAUAAACAGGGUGACAAUAUAUAGCCUUGACGAAAUCCUUUUCCUAUUUGGAACCAGUCUGCUGUAAUUUUGUUGUACAAUGGAGCCAGAAAAUGAGGCAGGAACUGGAAGGUGAUGUCAGAUCAAGAGAGGGUAGUUUUUUUUUUUUUUUUUAGGGUAGGGGAUACAACAGGAUAAUUAACCCAAUAGACAAAGAAAAAUUGAUGGUGGGAACAAAGAGAGAAUUUCCAAAGCACUGUCUUUGGGAUCUGGUGGACAAAGACAGGGAAUGGACUUAGAGAGGGGCAUGAGCAGUCAUUGAUAGUGAGAGGAUAGGAGACGGAAUUGAUAGGUAUGGAUGCUGGCAAGUGGACUGAUGCUUUGUAGGAGCUUGUGGAAGUCUAUUUAGUUGGAUAAACAAUCCUGGAGUUCAGGAAAGAAGUUGAGCUAAAGAUAGGGGCAGUAGUUAUCAGUUCAUAGAGGGAAGUUAAAGGUAUGAAGUAGAAAAGGAUCUGCUGUAGGGGCUAAAUGAUAGAAUAAGGAAUGGAAACUAAUUAACACUGUGGCUAUUGACCAUGAGUGCAUUCGAGUUCAGAGAAGUGAGCAACAACAAAGGCAAGAAGUGAGAAAUUUGAGUUGGAAGGGCAGGGGUUAGUGAGGAAUCAAUCCAGGAUCAGAGUGGUAGUAUAUGUAUUAAAAUAUAAAAAGAAGAGUGGUCUUGGCUAAGACUAGGAAAGAUAAAAUGGAUCAGAGUGGGAGAAGGCUCUGACUGUCUGCCUUGAUUUGAUAUACACAUGGGGAAGCAUUUUACUUAAUGAAAACAAGGGUUAAGGAAAGUUUAUGGUUUGCAGGAUUGAUGGAAGUUUAGGUUACUAGGAGUUAAAUCAGAAGGGCUGAUGGUGAGCCUGGUAGAAACGGUUGGCCACAGAAUCAGGAUUUUGACAAUAAAAAUGGAGAGCAAGUUUUGUAAUGGAUAUCGGAACUAAAGACCUGGGGAGAGCCAAUGAACUCUCAGAGACAUUAUUCCAGGGGUCCUUC